Molecule: long non-coding RNA, 928 nt
Organism: Saccostrea echinata
Lineage: Eukaryota; Metazoa; Mollusca; Bivalvia; Ostreida; Ostreidae
Exons: 3
Source: RefSeq, a predicted model, not a curated record
GCUGCCUAGUGGCAGAAAACACACUUCAAAAAGUUAUGGGGGAAUUGAUUACUCUUUAUAUUUAAGAGGAUAAGAUGACAAUUCCAAUUAUCCAUAACUAAAGCCCCUGCAUUAGAAAAAAGAUCAACACUCCUUUGUGAUGCUUGCAAAUGCAAUGUAUUGGUAUUUACAAUUCAACAUGUAUGCUAGCCUAAAGGAAAGUUAUUGAAUGACCAUGAUGACUAAUCAUCUGAAGAAAAUGAUUGGCAUGGAAAAGACUGUGGCAACCUUUAUGUUGUUCUUCUGUGUUUUCAUGUUUUUGAUUGCUCAAUUAAGCAAACUGACUGAGAUGUUUGAAAGUGAGAGCUAGUACCUACAUUUAAGUGUUUAAAUUACAAAGAAUGUUCUCUGACAAACUGGAAAAUUGAUCAUGGAAGUCAGCUGCAAAAAAGUCUUGAAAACCAUUACAAGCAUGACAUUGUGCAUAAUUAUAUAUUUCUGGCUUUAUGAAGGACCAGAACAAUGAAUUGACAUGGGUUUAUUCUACAGUAUAUGGAUUUUUAAAUUUUAUUUUUUUUUUUAGCCAGCAAACCUUUGCUUUUUUCUUAAUGAUAGUAAGUCUUAUCAAAUUUGUGAGUUUGUGUGUCAGACUUAUUGGUUGGACUUUUUACUCAUUAUCUUUUAUAAACAAGAUUCUUGAUAAUGAAAGUGAGCACAUAGAUCUUCAGUUGUAAAUUCAUGUCACACAAAUCUGUAUAGAGUUCCAUUUCUGGGGUAAACUUAAGUUUGUCAUAUGAGGAGGAACUAUGAUACUCAGGUGAGCAUUAAUGCUCACUGCCUUUUAAAUCAAAUGAACAUUAGUUUUUAUGCAAUUAACCAUCUGAAUUAUAAAUUGUAUGUUAGGUAAUUUUGUGAAAUAUUUAACUGUCAAAUAAAAAAGAAAAAUGUA